Molecule: transfer RNA, 72 nt
Filed under: Leptotrombidium deliense
Lineage: Eukaryota; Metazoa; Arthropoda; Arachnida; Trombidiformes; Trombiculidae
Description: tRNA-Gln for anticodon UUG
Rfam family: tRNA
About the family: Transfer RNA (tRNA) molecules are approximately 80 nucleotides in length. Their secondary structure includes four short double-helical elements and three loops (D, anti-codon, and T loops).
Source: Rfam by way of RNAcentral
GGUUCUAUGGUGUAAUGGUUAGCACAGAGGACUUUGAAUCCUGCGAUUUGAGUUCCAUUCUCAGUAGAAACU